GUACAUGAAAAUACCCCUCUCCACAGGGCCCUAAGAAUAUCUGAGUGCAGCCAGGGUCCCAGCUUUGAGACAGAUCUGGGUUCAAAUACAACUCCUUAUUGUUACCUGUUCUUGAUCCUGGAUAAGCCACUGUGCCUCUCAAGGCUUUCUGUCUCCUAUCUACACAAUAGGGAUUACUGUAGCAUAUACUUCCUAGGGGUGUCCUCAGGCAUAAGUGGGAUAAUACCCACAGAAUUGGAGGAGUGGUGUCACAUGUACCAUCAUAAACACUGCAAAUAAUAAAAGGAACAACAAAGGAGAACUUCAAAAGGUGGUAAAAGGAAGGCGAAUUGGUCAGGGGUCCCAAGUCUGGAAGAACAAACUUUAUCCGCCAUCCAACAAGAGAGGAUGGAUCUAUUGCAAUCCUGGCUGGAAGAUCUUCCCCUUCACAGCUGCUUUGUGUGUGCUUCUGCUAGACACCUGUAGUGAACACAGUGAUGUCCACCCUGAUAUAUCUUCAGGAACAAAGAGCUUAUUGUCCCUGAGACUGACAGUGCCACCAGCAGACAGUCCUCAGCUUCCAGCCCCCUUCUGACAUUGCCCUGCCACCCAAGAGUCCUCUCCAUGUGUCCUUCAAUGAAGAAGAUUAGCAGGAAAAUCUGCAGAUCAAGAAAAACUGUACUGAAGGAGCUAGCUAUAUUUGAGGAAUUACAUCCAAGUAUCCUCAUCCACACAUGGGACAGAGUUAGACAAUGAGAUCCUGGACUUUGAACUGAUGCUAUAAUUGGAUGAGACUUUGGAGGGAUUUGAGAAGUGGUCCAUGAUCCAUUUCAUAUGAACUUUUGUGUUUGGUGUGAGGAUCCUGGAUACUCACUUCUUGGAUGCCUUAGUUGUGCUCCACUGCCUUCAAA
This 890-nucleotide long non-coding RNA is filed under the name Equus caballus (horse). RNAcentral's name for it is "lncRNA (ENSECAG00000058183.1)". Lineage: Eukaryota; Metazoa; Chordata; Mammalia; Perissodactyla; Equidae. The record is from RNAcentral.